Molecule: ribosomal RNA, 555 nt
Filed under: uncultured eukaryote
Lineage: Eukaryota
Description: SSU rRNA
Rfam family: Eukaryotic small subunit ribosomal RNA
Source: RNAcentral
CUGGUUGAUCCUGCCAGUAGUCAUAUGCUUGUCUUAAAGAUUAAGCCAUGCAUGUCUAAGUAUAAAUAGUAUACAGUGAAACUGCGAAUGGCUCAUUAAAACAGUUAUAGUUUAUUUGAUAAUUGAAUUCUACAUGGAUAACCGUAGUAAUUCUAGAGCUAAUACAUGCUGUCAAACCUGACUUUUGGAAAGGUUGUAUUUAUUAGAUAUCAAACCAAUAAUCUCCGGAUUAUUGUGAUGAUUCAUAAUAACUGAUCGGAUCAAGGAAUACCUUGAUAGAUCAUUCAAGUUUCUGCCCUAUCAGCUUUCGAUGGUAGUGUAUUGGACUACCAUGGCAGUCACGGGUAACGGAGAAUUAGGGUUCGAUUCCGGAGAGGGAGCCUGAGAAACGGCUACCACAUCUACGGAAGGCAGCAGGCGCGUAAAUUACCCAAUCCUGAUUCAGGGAGGUAGUGACAAGAAAUAACAUCUCGGGUCCUUUUAGGAUUACGUGACUGUAAUGAGAACAAUUUAAAUCUCUUAGCGAGGAACAAUUGGAGGACAAGUCUGGUGCCA